UACGUAGGGGGCAAGCGUUAUCCGGAUUUACUGGGUGUAAAGGGAGCGUAGACGGCUGUGCAAGUCAGAAGUGAAAACCCAAGGCUCAACCAUGGGACUGCUUUUGAAACUGUACAGCUGGAGUGCAGGAGAGGUAAGCGGAAUUCCUAGUGUAGCGGUGAAAUGCGUAGAUAUUAGGAGGAACACCAGUGGCGAAGGCGGCUUACUGGACUGUAACUGACGUUGAGGCUCGAAAGCGUGGGGAGCAA
Molecule: ribosomal RNA, 248 nt
Filed under: uncultured Lachnospiraceae bacterium
Lineage: Bacteria; Bacillati; Bacillota; Clostridia; Lachnospirales; Lachnospiraceae
Description: partial 16S ribosomal RNA
Rfam family: Bacterial small subunit ribosomal RNA
Source: RNAcentral